CACACACACACACACAUUAAUACAGAACCUCUCAUACAGGCCCUUCUUAAAUACUUCAUCAACGCUCUCAGAAAUGUUCACAGUAAAAGAAAACACUAACCAAACCACAAUCAUAAUAUGUCUAAAUAAGGAGGAGGAAGAGGAGGAGGAGGAGGAAGUGGAGGUAAGAGGUAGAAGAGAACAGGUGGACAAAGAGAGGAGAUAGUAAAGACAGACAGACAGACAGACAGACACGACCUCCUCAGAUACCUCAUCCACGUUUCAGAAAUGGCUACAGGAAAAAGCUCUCAGUCGACACGUUAGUAUUUUUCUCCUUGCCUCCUAAUGAACGAGCUAUCAACGUCGGUGGAGAGGGAGUGAUGCAAGUCCCCUUUCGGCUCCCAAUUACUUGAUUCGUCGCGCGAGAUAAGAAUGAGAAUAGAUGCGACUUGAUUGGCGGUAUUGUUUUGUUAUUGUGGUGUUUAUCUGGCUACACUGCUUGGAGGGUUUCAUUUUUGUCUGGCUAUACUGUUUGGAAGGUCGCUCUAUUUGUGUGGCUAUACUGCUUAGAUUAUAUUAUUUGUCUGGCUACACUGCUUGGAAGGGUAUACUGUUCACCUGGCUAUAUUGUUUGUUAUUGUGGUGUUUAUCUGGCUGCACUGCUUGGAGGGUUUCAUUUUUGUCUGGCUAUACUGUUUGGAAGGUUGCUCUUUUUGUGUGGCUAUACUGCUUAGAAGGUAAUAUUAUUUGUCUGGCUACACUGCUUUCAUGGUUACACUAUUUGUCUGGCAACACUGUUUAAGGUUAUCAUAUUUAUCUGGUAACACUUUUUUGGCAAUACUGUUUGACAAUUAGAUGAUUCAACACAUUAUCUUCAAAACAGUCAUCACGGCUAUCAUUACCCUCCUCCUCCUCCUCUUCACCAUCAUCAUCUUCAUUCACCUUCACCGGUCACACGGAGGUCACUAUCCUGUCCUGAAUCUGUUUGACAAUAAGAUGAUUCAACACAUUAUCUUCAAAACAAUCAUCACGGCUAUCAUUACCCUCCUCCUCCUCCUCUUCACCAUCAUCAUCUUCAUUCCCCUUCACCGGUCACACGGAGGUCACUAUCCUGUCCUGAAUCUGUUUGACAAUAAGAUGAUUUAACACAUUGUCUGUCUGUGUAUGGGGUGACGUAUAUCAUUGCUCCAUACACUUUUUUUUAUAGUGAUGCCUCGGCUUUCCCCCUUCGCUAUCCCUUCCGUCUUCCUUCCAAUCACCCACACUCGUUAUCUCCCUCGCUAUCACCGCUUUGUCCUCACCCAUUAGCCGCAAUCUCUCUCAGCCUCUCCACAGAUAAACGUGUAUCUUCCUGUUGCAGUUCAUUGCCUUGAGUCACAUCGAUAACACGAGGGACCUAUUUAUUUAUGUAUUUAUUUUAUUAUUUAUUUGUAUUUGAAGGACUAUUCAAUGGGUUAUUUUUUCGUCUGAUCAUUUAAUUGCCCUCAAGCGACCCUGACUGAAAACAUGACCGACUUGAGUAAAAAGACAUAAGGUGAAAUGUAAAACAGUAUAACGAAGAGAAAGAACAGGAAGAAGAACAGGAAGAACAGGAGAAAGAAAGGAACAUAAAAAACAAAUAUUAUUCCUUGUUUUUUUUUCUUAUAUAUAACUUUAGUCUUGUUUCUAGUUCAACACAAACGCAUUAAACUUACACUAUUCAUAUAUAUUUUCUUCCAGGAAUAAUUAGUUUACGAUACGAUGCAUAAUAAAAAGGACUACUAAUAACUACACCAAUAGAAGAAAUAAUGACAAAAUUAAUGAAGAAUGUAACAAUGAGAGGAGUAGUAGUAGUAGUAGUAGUAGUAGUAGUAGUAGUAGUAGUAGUAGUAGUAGUAGUAGUAG
Long non-coding RNA from Eriocheir sinensis (Chinese mitten crab), 1863 nucleotides. RefSeq lists it as uncharacterized. The record is from RefSeq and is a predicted model, not a curated record. The transcript is spliced from 2 exons. NCBI's taxonomy places the organism in Eukaryota, Metazoa, Arthropoda, Malacostraca, Decapoda, Varunidae.